AGCUCCAAUGGCGUAUAUUAAAGUUGUUGCGGUUAAAAAGCUCGUAGUUGGAAUUCUGCCAAGGAACACUGGUCCGCCCUCCGGGUGAGCAUCUGGUUCGUCCUCGGCAUCUUCUUGGAGAAUGUAGUUGCACUUGGCUGUGUGGUGCGGCAUCCAAGACUUGUACUUUGAGGAAAUUAGAGUGUUUCGAGCAUAGGGCCUUUGUUCUAUUUUGUUGGUUUCUAGAGCAGAGGUGAUGGUUAAUAGGGAUAAUUGGGGGUGUUCGUACUUAACUGUCAGAGGUGAAAUUCUUGGAUUUGUUAAAGGUGUACAACUGCGAAAGCAUUCGCCAAGGAUGUUCUCA
This 343-nucleotide ribosomal RNA is filed under the name uncultured eukaryote. Its description in RNAcentral is "SSU rRNA". It matches the Rfam family "Eukaryotic small subunit ribosomal RNA", at positions 587 to 972 of the family's 1831-position model. The record is from RNAcentral.